GACGAGGGGUCCUAGCGUUGUUCGGAAUCACUGGGCGUAAAGGGUGUGUAGGUGGCCUUGUAAGUCAGGUGUGAAAGCCCAUGGCUCAACCAUGGAACUGCAUCUGAUACUGCAAGGCUUGAAUAUUGGAGAGGAUGGUAGAAUUCCUGGUGUAGUGGUGAAAUACGUAGAUAUCAGGAGGAACACCGGUGGCGAAGGCGACCAUCUGGCCAAAUAUUGACACUGAGACACGAAAGCGUGGGGAUCAAACAGG
This 253-nucleotide ribosomal RNA is filed under the name uncultured bacterium. RNAcentral's name for it is "partial 16S ribosomal RNA". It matches the Rfam family "Bacterial small subunit ribosomal RNA", at positions 524 to 776 of the family's 1533-position model. The record is from RNAcentral.